Molecule: ribosomal RNA, 900 nt
Filed under: uncultured bacterium
Lineage: Bacteria
Description: bacterial SSU rRNA
Rfam family: Bacterial small subunit ribosomal RNA
Source: RNAcentral
UAGAGUUUUGAUCCUNGGCUCCAGAAUCAACGCUGGCGGCGUGCCUCAGACAUGCAAGUCGAACGAUUAAAGCUCUCUUCGGAGAGUGCAUAGAGUGGCGCACGGGUGAGUAACACGUAAGUAAUCUACCUUCGAGUGGGGAAUAACAUCGGGAAACCGAUGCUAAUACCGCAUAAUGCAGCGGCAUCGCAAGAUGACAGUUGUUAAAGAUUUAUCGCUUGAAGAGGAGCUUGCGGCAGAUUAGCUAGUUGGUAAGGUAAUGGCUUACCAAGGCUACGAUCUGUAACCGGUCUAAGAGGACGGUCGGUCACACUGACACUGAAUAACGGGUCAGACUCCUACGGGAGGCAGCAGUCGGGAAUUUUGGGCAAUGGGCGAAAGCCUGACCCAGCAACGCCGCGUGAAGGAUGAAGUAUUUCGGUAUGUAAACUUCGAAAGAAUAGGAAGAAUAAAUGACGGUACUAUUUAUAAGGUCCGGCUAACUACGUGCCAGCAGCCGCGGUAAUACGUAGGGACCAAGCGUUGUUCGGAUUUACUGGGCGUAAAGGGCGCGUAGGCGGCUUGUCAAGUCACUUGUGAAAUCUCUGGGCUUAACCCAGAACGGCCAAGUGAAACUGACAUGCUAGAGUGCAGAAGGGGCAAUCGGAAUUCUUGGUGUAGCGGUGAAAUGCGUAGAUAUCAAGAGGAACACCUGAGGUGAAGACGGGUUGCUGGGCUGACACUGACGCUGAGGCGCGAAAGCCAGGGGAGCAAACGGGAUUAGAUACCCCGGUAGUCCUGGCCCUAAACGAUGAAUACUUGGUGUCUGGAGUCAUUAAUGCUCCGGGUGCCGUCGCUAACGUUUUUAGUAUUCCGCCUGGGGAGUACGCUCGCAAGAGUGAAACUCAAAGGAAUUGACGG